Linepithema humile (Argentine ant) is the source of this 667-nucleotide long non-coding RNA. RefSeq lists it as uncharacterized. The record is from RefSeq and is a predicted model, not a curated record. Lineage: Eukaryota; Metazoa; Arthropoda; Insecta; Hymenoptera; Formicidae.
GUGAGCGUAGUCCCGCGUUUCGCACGUAUUUUUUCCGAUCAAAGAGAAUCUGGCUAGCCAAUCUUAGAAGAGUCGCUCGUUGAAUGACAAGCGAAUAUCGCAAAAACUUUCAGUAAUAUUGAAUCUCUCGAUCAAUGAGUGAACCUUACGGAGAAUCCGCCAAUUUAUUCUUCACGCGCGAACAAUCGCGGUUCCAUUCCUAACUUAUUUUUCGUCGUCAUUUGUCGCUAAUUGUAUCCACCGUCGUAUCGUUCGUCGAAUUGUUUAUAAGUGUUGGUAGUGACGAGAGUGUCGAGCAAAAUUACGGGCGAUUAUCGUGCUUCGCGGUAUUUAUUCAUUUGAGAAUGCAGUGAGCGUAAUGAUCGCGUUCAAAAUUUUAGUAAGUGCCGGUAUCGUAAGUGAUAAUUAGUGCUAUGUAAGUGUAUGUGUGGAGCAACAAAUUCCAACGGCAAAACAUUGGAUGCUGAGUAAAUUUGAAUAUCAUAUUAUAAAAGAAGACUUGGCUGCUGAAUCUAAACUAUGGAUUACAACGAUAAGGAUUUAAGGAACUAAAGGAUUUCAACCGCAGAGUCAACCUAUCGCAACGACGGGACAUCGACUGAUGUGCAAUGCGACAGCUGUGUGAUGAGAAUUGGAACCACCAGUUUCCCGCAGCAGAAAAAAUUGG